RNAcentral lists this ribosomal RNA (235 nucleotides) under uncultured Candidatus Saccharibacteria bacterium. RNAcentral's name for it is "partial 16S ribosomal RNA". It matches the Rfam family "Bacterial small subunit ribosomal RNA", at positions 584 to 818 of the family's 1533-position model. The record is from RNAcentral. Lineage: Bacteria; Candidatus Saccharimonadota.
UAAGUAGGGCGUGAAAGCGUAUGGCUCAACCAUAUAAACAUGUCCUAAACUGCAAAGCUAGAAUGUAGGAGAGGUAGCUGGAAUUCCUAGUGUAGGAGUGAAAUCCGUAGAUAUUAGGAGGAACACCGAUGGCGUAGGCAGGCUACUGGCCUAUUAUUGACGCUAAGGCACGAAAGCGUGGGGAGCAAACGGGAUUAGAUACCCCGGUAGUCCACGCCGUAAACGAUGGAUGCUA